This 324-nucleotide ribosomal RNA is filed under the name Euglypha sp. (in: cercozoans). Its description in RNAcentral is "SSU rRNA". The stretch from base 112 to 324 matches the Rfam family "Eukaryotic small subunit ribosomal RNA", at positions 741 to 955 of the family's 1831-position model. Lineage: Eukaryota; Cercozoa; Imbricatea; Euglyphida; Euglyphidae. The record is from RNAcentral.
GAUUUCUGACGGACCGGAGUGGCCCGUUCCCUUUCAGGGAAUGAGUGCCGCUUUGUGUUUGUCAUCCUUCCAGUGAGCUGCGUCUACCGUUUACUCGGCCGGACGUAUGCGAUCUGGAUCUAUUACUUUGAAAAAAUUAGAGUGUUUAAAGCAGGCUUAUGCUCUGAAUACAUUAGCAUGGAAUAAUAAUUUAGGACUUCGGUCCUAUUUUGUUGGUUUCUAGGACAGAAGUAAUGAUUGAUAGGGACAGUUGGGGGUGCUAGUAUUCCGCGGCCAGAGGUGAAAUUCUUGGAUUCGCGGAAGACUAACUACUGCGAAAGCAUU